This 464-nucleotide ribosomal RNA is filed under the name uncultured bacterium. Its description in RNAcentral is "SSU rRNA". It matches the Rfam family "Bacterial small subunit ribosomal RNA", at positions 26 to 518 of the family's 1533-position model. The record is from RNAcentral.
AGCCUGAACGCUGGCGGCGUGGCUAAGACAUGCAAGUCGUACGGGGUCCGCAAGGAUCCAGUGGCGAACGGGUGAGUAAAGUAUCGCUAACGUACCCCUAUGUCCGGGAUAGCUGGGGGAAACUCCAGGUAAUACCGGGUGACAUCACUUUCUCGCAUGAGAAGGUGCUCAAAGGGAAACCGCAAAGGGAGCGGGCGAUAUCGUAUCAGCUAGUUGGUGAGGUAACGGCUCACCAAGGCUAUGACGCGUAGCCGGACUGAGAGGUCGGACGGCCACAUUGGGACUGAGACACUGCCCAGACUCCUACGGGGGGCUGCAGUAACGAAUCUUCCGCAAUGCACGCAAGUGUGACGGAGCGACGCCGCGUGUGGGACGAAGUCCUUCGGGAUGUAAACCACUGUCAGGGUUACCAAGUUCUGAGGAACCCCAGAGGAAGGCACGGCUAACUCUGCGCCAGCAGCCGC